ACCUGGCUGGCUCAGUCAGUAGAGCAUGCAACUCUUGAUCUUGGGGUUGUGAGUUCAAUCCCCACGUUGGGUG
This 73-nucleotide transfer RNA is filed under the name Felis catus (domestic cat). It matches the Rfam family "tRNA". From Rfam's summary of the family: Transfer RNA (tRNA) molecules are approximately 80 nucleotides in length. The record is from Rfam by way of RNAcentral. Lineage: Eukaryota; Metazoa; Chordata; Mammalia; Carnivora; Felidae.